CUUACCGGAGAAAAGCUGAGCUUGUGCCGUCCAUAGCUGCCGACGACUCCCCUGAGACACUGGCGUCAAAACACCCGUGGAGACAGACCUCCGAAAAUCAGGGAGUUGUCUAAGGCACAAGAGGUCUUUGCAGCCUGUGUUAUUCAGGAAGACCAGAUUGGUAGACUCAGCCUGUUCCAGUGUUGAAUUGUAGAUGUACGAGCCACUCAUAUCCACGGCCGCCUGGAAAAGACCCUUUGCAAGCGGAGACAUCAUCAGGGUCCAUACAGACGUGCCACCUUGGAAAUAAAAAUCAUAUUUCA
Nerophis ophidion (straightnose pipefish) is the source of this 302-nucleotide long non-coding RNA. RefSeq lists it as uncharacterized. Lineage: Eukaryota; Metazoa; Chordata; Actinopteri; Syngnathiformes; Syngnathidae. The transcript is spliced from 2 exons. The record is from RefSeq and is a predicted model, not a curated record.